UUAAGCGACUAAGCGUACACGGUGGAUGCCCUGGCAGUCAGAGGCGAUGAAGGACGUGCUAAUCUGCGAAAAGCGUCGGUAAGGUGAUAUGAACCGUUAUAGCCGGCGAUGUCCGAAUGGGGAAACCCAGUGCAAUUCGUUGCACUAUCGUUAACUGAAUACAUAGGUUAACGAGGCGAACCGGGGGAACUGAAACAUCUAAGUACCCCGAGGAAAAGAAAUCAACCGAGAUUCCCCCAGUAGCGGCGAGCGAACGGGGAGCAGCCCAGAGUCUGAAUCAGCUUGUGUGUUAGUGGAACGGUCUGGAAAGUCCGACGGUACAGGGUGAUAGUCCCGUACACCAAAAUGCACAGGCUGUGAACUCGAAGAGUAGGGCGGGACACGUGGUAUCCUGUCUGAAUAUGGGGGGACCAUCCUCCAAGGCUAAAUACUCCUGACUGACCGAUAGUGAACCAGUACCGUGAGGGAAAGGCGAAAAGAACCCCGGCGAGGGGAGUGAAAAAGAACCUGAAACCGUGUACGUACAAGCAGUGGGAGCACCUUCGGGUGUGACUGCGUACCUUUUGUAUAAUGGGUCAGCGACUUAUAUUCUGUAGCAAGGUUAACCGUAUAGGGGAGCCGCAGGGAAACCGAGUCUUAACUGGGCGUUAAGUUGCAGGGUAUAGACCCGAAACCCGGUGAUCUAGCCAUGGGCAGGUUGAAGGUUGGGUAACACUAACUGGAGGACCGAACCGACUAAUGUUGAAAAAUUAGCGGAUGACUUGUGGCUGGGGGUGAAAGGCCAAUCAAACCGGGAGAUAGCUGGUUCUCCCCGAAAGCUAUUUAGGUAGCGCCUCGUGAACUCAUCUUCGGGGGUAGAGCACUGUUUCGGCUAGGGGGUCAUCCCGACUUACCAACCCGAUGCAAACUACGAAUACCGAAGAAUGUUAUCACGGGAGACACACGGCGGGUGCUAACGUCCGUCGUGAAGAGGGAAACAACCCAGACCGCCAGCUAAGGUCCCAAAGUCAUGGUUAAGUGGGAAACGAUGUGGGAAGGCACAGACAGCCAGGAUGUUGGCUUAGAAGCAGCCAUCAUUUAAAGAAAGCGUAAUAGCUCACUGGUCGAGUCGGCCUGCGCGGAAGAUGUAACGGGGCUAAACCAUGCACCGAAGCUGCGGCAGCGACACUAUGUGUUGUUGGGUAGGGGAGCGUUCUGUAAGCCUGCGAAGGUGUGCUGUGAGGCAUGCUGGAGGUAUCAGAAGUGCGAAUGCUGACAUAAGUAACGAUAAAGCGGGUGAAAAGCCCGCUCGCCGGAAGACCAAGGGUUCCUGUCCAACGUUAAUCGGGGCAGGGUGAGUCGACCCCUAAGGCGAGGCCGAAAGGCGUAGUCGAUGGGAAACAGGUUAAUAUUCCUGUACUUGGUGUUACUGCGAAGGGGGGACGGAGAAGGCUAUGUUAGCCGGGCGACGGUUGUCCCGGUUUAAGCAUGUAGGCUGGUUAUCCAGGCAAAUCCGGAUAAUCAAGGCUGAGGUGUGAUGACGAGGCACUACGGUGCUGAAGUAACAAAUGCCCUGCUUCCAGGAAAAGCCUCUAAGCAUCAGGUAACAUCAAAUCGUACCCCAAACCGACACAGGUGGUCAGGUAGAGAAUACCAAGGCGCUUGAGAGAACUCGGGUGAAGGAACUAGGCAAAAUGGUGCCGUAACUUCGGGAGAAGGCACGCUGGUGUGUAGGUGAAGUCCCUGCGGAUGGAGCUGAGACCAGUCGAAGAUACCAGCUGGCUGCAACUGUUUAUUAAAAACACAGCACUGUGCAAACACGAAAGUGGACGUAUACGGUGUGACGCCUGCCCGGUGCCGGAAGGUUAAUUGAUGGGGUUAUCCGUAAGGAGAAGCUCUUGAUCGAAGCCCCGGUAAACGGCGGCCGUAACUAUAACGGUCCUAAGGUAGCGAAAUUCCUUGUCGGGUAAGUUCCGACCUGCACGAAUGGCGUAAUGAUGGCCAGGCUGUCUCCACCCGAGACUCAGUGAAAUUGAACUCGCUGUGAAGAUGCAGUGUACCCGCGGCAAGACGGAAAGACCCCGUGAACCUUUACUAUAGCUUGACACUGAACAUUGAGCCUUGAUGUGUAGGAUAGGUGGGAGGCUUUGAAGCGUGGACGCCAGUCUGCGUGGAGCCAACCUUGAAAUACCACCCUUUAAUGUUUGAUGUUCUAACGUUGGCCCCUUACCGGGGUUGCGGACAGUGUCUGGUGGGUAGUUUGACUGGGGCGGUCUCCUCCCAAAGCGUAACGGAGGAGCACGAAGGUUAGCUAAUCCUGGUCGGACAUCAGGAGGUUAGUGCAAUGGCAUAAGCUAGCUUGACUGCGAGCGUGACGGCGCGAGCAGGUGCGAAAGCAGGUCAUAGUGAUCCGGUGGUUCUGAAUGGAAGGGCCAUCGCUCAACGGAUAAAAGGUACUCCGGGGAUAACAGGCUGAUACCGCCCAAGAGUUCAUAUCGACGGCGGUGUUUGGCACCUCGAUGUCGGCUCAUCACAUCCUGGGGCUGAAGUAGGUCCCAAGGGUAUGGCUGUUCGCCAUUUAAAGUGGUACGCGAGCUGGGUUUAGAACGUCGUGAGACAGUUCGGUCCCUAUCUGCCGUGGGCGCUGGAGAAUUGAGGGGGGCUGCUCCUAGUACGAGAGGACCGGAGUGGACGCAUCACUGGUGUUCGGGUUGUCAUGCCAAUGGCACUGCCCGGUAGCUAAAUGCGGAAGAGAUAAGUGCUGAAAGCAUCUAAGCACGAAACUUGCCCCGAGAUGAGUUCUCCCUGAGACUUUAAGUCUCCUGAAGGAACGUUGAAGACGACGACGUUGAUAGGCCGGGUGUGUAAGCGCAGCGAUGCGUUGAGCUAACCGGUACUAAUGAACCGUGAGGCUUAACCUU
RNAcentral lists this ribosomal RNA (2900 nucleotides) under Klebsiella pneumoniae. Its description in RNAcentral is "23S ribosomal RNA". It matches the Rfam family "Bacterial large subunit ribosomal RNA". The record is from RNAcentral. Lineage: Bacteria; Pseudomonadati; Pseudomonadota; Gammaproteobacteria; Enterobacterales; Enterobacteriaceae.